This 71-nucleotide transfer RNA is filed under the name Aquiloeurycea cephalica (chunky false brook salamander). Its description in RNAcentral is "tRNA-Ser". It matches the Rfam family "tRNA". From Rfam's summary of the family: Transfer RNA (tRNA) molecules are approximately 80 nucleotides in length. The record is from RNAcentral. Lineage: Eukaryota; Metazoa; Chordata; Amphibia; Caudata; Plethodontidae.
AAGGGAGUGGCGGAUUGGUUAUGUGGUUGACUUGAAAUCAAAAUAGGAGGGUUCGAUUCCUUCUUCCCUGA